RNAcentral lists this small RNA (697 nucleotides) under Pan troglodytes (chimpanzee). RNAcentral describes it as "retained intron". The record is from RNAcentral. Lineage: Eukaryota; Metazoa; Chordata; Mammalia; Primates; Hominidae.
AGGGAAGCCGGUACCCGGGUCCUGGCCCCAGCGCUGACGUUUUCUCUCCCCUUUCUUCUCUUUUCGCGGUUGCGGCGUCGCAGACGCUAGUGUGAGCCCCCAUGGCAGAUACGACCCCGAACGGCCCCCAAGGGGCGGGCGCUGUGCAAUUCAUGAUGACCAAUAAACUGGACACGGCAAUGUGGCUUUCUCGCUUGUUCACAGUUUACUGCUCUGCUCUGUUUGUUCUGCCUCUUCUUGGUGAGUAUCUUCCCAGUCUUGUUAUUCUCUUUGCUUCAUGCUGCCACAUAUACGAAAAAGGUCCUUGAUGUAAGUAAAACUGCUCUUUGUCUGACUUCUGAAUUACAGAUCAUUGACAUGAAUUCGAGUUCUAAGACAUUUUGGUAUUUGUCACAAAAAGUCCCUCUAUACCUUACAAACUUGUUAUGAAUUAUUUAGUGAUUUGAAAGUUUUAAGUUUAAAAGUGUUUAUUGUUGAAGUUUCACAAACUAGAACAUUUUAUAGAUAAAGGAUUGCACUUAAAAUCACCCCCCAGUCUCCAGGGGACUUUUUCAAAUUUGAAAUAGAUCUGCUUUUUUGAAACCUGUGUCUCUAAAGUUUGUUGAGUUGUCAGAUCUCUUGUUCUGUCAAUGUUUAAUUCUGGCAUACCUGAUAAGUUGAGUGUACUGAAUGAAUCUCUUGUACACUAAUUUUCAGA